This 81-nucleotide transfer RNA is filed under the name Paragonimus westermani. Its description in RNAcentral is "tRNA-Leu". It matches the Rfam family "tRNA". From Rfam's summary of the family: Transfer RNA (tRNA) molecules are approximately 80 nucleotides in length. Their secondary structure includes four short double-helical elements and three loops (D, anti-codon, and T loops). The record is from RNAcentral. Lineage: Eukaryota; Metazoa; Platyhelminthes; Trematoda; Plagiorchiida; Troglotrematidae.
GGCUACGUAGCUCAGCUGGUAGAGCGCUUACCGCAUUGAGGCAUGCUGUGUCUGUCGUUGGUUCGAACCCAACCGAAGCCU